Molecule: long non-coding RNA, 868 nt
Filed under: Homo sapiens (human)
Lineage: Eukaryota; Metazoa; Chordata; Mammalia; Primates; Hominidae
Description: HSALNT0355193
Source: RNAcentral
CUCCAUUUUACAGAGGAGGAAGCCGAGGUUGGGAAAGGUGGAGGGACUUGCCCAAGUCACACAAACGACAACUCAGCAGAGCUGAGAAUUGGCACCCAGGGCAACUGGAGUCCAUCCUGAGCUUGUCACUGCUGGGCUCUGAGACCUCCUGGUGAAGAAGGACAGUGGCAGAGACAGCCCGACCCAGAGAAACCCAGCAACGCUACUUUCUAAGGGCAUUUUUCCCUCUCAUUUGGAAUCCUGAGCCUCCUGCUCGUCCUGUAGGCCACACCCAGCAAACAGAGCUGGCUGGGAACUGGGAGAAGAGCUGGAGCAACAGCCUGCAUCCAUUUCCUCUUGCUGCAAUAACAACUGAUCACAAGAUGGAGUCUCACUCUGUCAACCAGGCUGGAGUGCACUGGCGCAAUCUCGGCUCACUGCAGUCACCUCCUCUCAGGUUCAAGUGAUUCUCCUGCCUCUGCCUCCUGAGUAGCUGGGAUUACAGAAUGUGAGCAUGGAGUCUGGAGCAGGAGCAGCUGUUGUGCACUGUGAGGUUGAAGCCGUGUGUUGAGAAUAGCAGAGCAACAAAGCAAUAGGAGCUGGAGCCCCUAGGGGCCAUGAAGCCCCUACCAGCCCUGGACUGCUUAGAUUUACUUGAGCAAGAAAUAAACCCUUGAUUGUUUAAACCGGUGUGAUUUGAAGUCUGCCCUGUUGGAAGCACAACCAGAUCCUCUUUAACGAGGCACAGCAGAGAGUAACAUGCACAGCCCCUGCCCUCUGGGAAUCACUGUCUAGUUGGGGAGAGAGACAAUAAUCAUGUAAACAAAGAAGGAAGUCGUGGUGGUUAUGAAAAGAGCUAUGAACGAUGGGCCAGAGAACGUGGUGGGGA